GCGGGUUUAGCUCAGUUGGGAGAGCGUCAGACUGAAGUUCACUUCAAUCACUAUCAUCCGAUAUCUGAAGGUCAUGUGUUCGAUCCACAUAAACCGCA
RNAcentral lists this transfer RNA (98 nucleotides) under Fusarium acuminatum. RNAcentral describes it as "tRNA-Phe". It matches the Rfam family "tRNA". From Rfam's summary of the family: Transfer RNA (tRNA) molecules are approximately 80 nucleotides in length. The record is from RNAcentral. Lineage: Eukaryota; Fungi; Ascomycota; Sordariomycetes; Hypocreales; Nectriaceae. RNAcentral also lists the same sequence under 2 other names.